GACGGAGUGCUAGAGUCUACAGAAAUACAGCCUUUUGCCUUAGGAAGUCUGAGCUUGUGUUGGGUUUUUUUGGACCCAGUCAGGCUUAAACUCAUCAUCAGGAGUGGCUUUCCUGUUUGUUGCUUUCCUGGGCAAGUGACGUUGGAUUGUUGCAGUGAAUUUCUGCCUUAAGAUUGGCUUCAUCUCAAGAACAAGGGAAGAUGACCUCAAGAUGUUGCUGCUAAGGUGGAGUUAGAACCAGCAGAAGUCAACUUUGGAAUUCAGUUUUUGCUUAAAGAGUGAUUUCUUGAACCAAUCAGCGUAACAGGCACACAAAGAUGUACCCAUAAGGAGAUGCUGUGAAAACAUGGCAUAGUACAGAGACCUCAAAAUGAAC
Long non-coding RNA from Gallus gallus (chicken), 376 nucleotides. The record is from Ensembl. NCBI's taxonomy places the organism in Eukaryota, Metazoa, Chordata, Aves, Galliformes, Phasianidae.